UACGGAAGGGGCAAGCGUUGUCCGGAAUUAUUGGGCGGAAAGAGCUCGUAGGCGGUUUGUCGCGUCUGCUGUGAAAACUCGGGGCUUAACUCCGGGCCUGCAGUGGGUACGGGCAGACUAGAGUGCGGUAGGGGAGACUGGAAUUCCUGGUGUAGCGGUGAAAUGCGCAGAUAUCAGGAGGAACACCGGUGGCGAAGGCGGGUCUCUGGGCCGUAACUGACGCUGAGGAGCGAAAGCGUGGGGAGCGAACAGG
This 253-nucleotide ribosomal RNA is filed under the name uncultured bacterium. Its description in RNAcentral is "partial 16S ribosomal RNA". It matches the Rfam family "Bacterial small subunit ribosomal RNA", at positions 524 to 776 of the family's 1533-position model. The record is from RNAcentral.